Bombus impatiens (common eastern bumble bee) is the source of this 2061-nucleotide long non-coding RNA. RefSeq lists it as uncharacterized. The transcript is spliced from 2 exons. The record is from RefSeq and is a predicted model, not a curated record. NCBI's taxonomy places the organism in Eukaryota, Metazoa, Arthropoda, Insecta, Hymenoptera, Apidae.
AUCGCACUAUAGAUAUUUAUGAAUUUAUUGAAAAUUAAAAGAUAUAGGAAUGCACAUAAUAUACAGAUAUAGAAAAUCCGAAAUGCACUAAUUGUUAUAUGUAAUACAUAUAAUGCAUUUAGUGGAAGAAGCAAAUCUUCGAUGGGCUUCCUUUCCUCUAGCAUUGCUCGUAAAAAUUUGGAUUUGCAUAAACAUCAGUAGGUUACUAAUUAUUUAUCGUAGGAACAUAUAAUAAUAUUUACGUCAAUCAUAACAAUUGUAUUGAACGAUGUUUACAGAUACAAUGUAUAUAAUACAUGCUAAUUAAGAAAUCUCAGAAUCCUCAGAAACAUUCAGAAACUGUAAGGAACCGAAAACUAAACACGUAACAUAAAACCGCGAAAAUUAUAAUUUUCUUGCCACCACGCAGCCGUUUUUAAACGAAAUGCGCGAUGAACGUGCGGUGUGGCAGUCAUCCACCUCAUCAUCCCCUUUGUUUGCCGCCGCUCCUGUGUUAUCAUCAUCCUCGUGCUUCCUCCGACGAGAUCGACGCUUCCACACAUCGUCGUACACGUAACCCGUAUUCGAAGCCUGGCCAGACAACCUGGCAACGUUGUAAAACCCAUUCUUCUACCUUCCCCUCUCUCACCUGUUACCUGUCCAACGUCCCCACCGUACGAACACCUAUGAUUGUCUCUGUUUCGCCUGCACGAAAAAUCUUUUCCUCUUCGUUCAUCGUUGCCUGCGGACAAUCAGGUAAACGUAAACCCAGGCCUGGUGUACCGUCACUUCACGCUCGGUUCUUGAAUCAGUCGAGGCAACGCCGUCGAGACGCGUGCUGCUUCUACCUUUCUUCGAUCGAUCGAUCGCCUAUCGCGAGUAGGUACGACGUAGUUUCGAUUCGUGACGAUUUCGAGCGAGUUUGGAAGUUUAAAGACGACGGGAUCUCUGGGAUUUGGUUCGUGACAUAGGAAGUACGGCUUUGCUGAGCUUGAGAAAUCGGCUGAGGGAUUCUGAGAGAAUCUAAAAAAGCCACAGGGACUAAGAAAAAGAGAUCAUGGAAUCCUGGUUGAGCGACGUGCAGCGUGUACGAAUUCCACGGCCGAAAUUCGGUAGCGGGAACUCGGUGAGACGGUCGAAUUCCACGGUACAGCACGUGCGACCGGAAGUGCUCUCGCGGCAGACGCAGGACGUGGCUAAGGCCACAGAAGAGUUACGACAAGCUCUCCAAGACAAGCUUUGACUGGCCGAUCAUCGAUAAGGGACCAGCAAAAAUUGAUCGAGCAAAACACAUUCGAGUUCGAGAGUCAUCGUUGUAUAAGAUUCUGUACCAGGCCGUCGCUUUGUCGCCUGUCCACUUUCUUCCGCCAUAACCAGAGGACGAAUCGUUGUUUCGUGUUAUUUCGUGACAUGUUCCGUUCCAGACUCGCGACAAAGCCAUUCUUGCGAAAAGGACAAUAGAACUCGACGCUCGAGGAUGAAUGUUGUCGGACUUCCGGAUUUCGCCGAGUGAUGAUGAUGAACUGUGCUCGAGAAAAGUCGCGAAUGGGGGAAACGGAGCGUUUGGUACGUCUGUGAAGGUGGAUGCUGAAUAUUGUCGAAACGUGAAUGUUGAUGACAGUGUAAUAGAACGGUGGUUGGUCGGAUUUUUCAAUGAGAAUUUAAUAGAAAUAUUCGUAAGCUUGGAAAUAAUUUUCAGAGCGAACGCUCAUGCAAAUUCGUGUUUUUACAAGCAGAUAGAAGGACCGAUAUAAAGAAUUCAAACUUGAAUAGGAGCAUUGAAUGAAACUACUCAUUUAUAUUGUUAGGAGACAGUAAUGUUCGAAUAACUAGCGUUCUAUUGCGUGUGGUCUAUCGUCUGAAACGUGUGUGAAUACGAGUCAGUAUUAGGAAUCAUAUUUGUUCUCUGUGAAACUACAUUCGGCGAGGCUAUGUACAGUUUGCCAGUAGUCGCUUUCUGUUACGAUUUCCAUAUCAAAACCAUGCUUCCUUCGAACCUUUUGUAAUUUAUGCACGCGACGUUUGUUUCUUCUUUCAAUGUUAAAAAGAGACUGAAAGAUAAAAACCUGUUGAAACCGUAAA